This 864-nucleotide ribosomal RNA is filed under the name uncultured Methanocella sp. Its description in RNAcentral is "bacterial SSU rRNA". It matches the Rfam family "Archaeal small subunit ribosomal RNA", at positions 1 to 872 of the family's 1478-position model. Lineage: Archaea; Methanobacteriati; Methanobacteriota; Methanomicrobia; Methanocellales; Methanocellaceae. The record is from RNAcentral.
UUCCGGUUGAUCCUGCCAGAGGUCACUGCUAUCGGUGUCCGAUUAAGCCAUGCGAGUCGAGAGGUGUAAGACCUCGGCAGACUGCUCAGUAACACGUGGAUAACCUGCCCAAGGGUCCGGGAUAACCCCGGGAAACUGGGGAUAAUACCGGAUGGGUCACCAGUGCUGGAAUGCUUGGUGGUCGAAAGGUGACGCCUUUGGAUGGGUCUGCGGCGGAUUAGGUUGACGCCGGUGUAACGUACCGGCGUGCCUGUAAUCCGUACGGGUUGUGGGAGCAAGAGCCCGGAGAUGGAUUCUGAGACACGAAUCCAGGCCCUACGGGGCGCAGCAGGCGCGAAAACUCUACAAUGCAGGCAACUGCGAUAGGGGGACAUCGAGUGGCAUCCACCUUGGGUGUCUGUCCAACCGUCUAAAAAACGGUUGUUAGCAAGGGCCGGGCAAGACCGGUGCCAGCCGCCGCGGUAAUACCGGCGGCUCGAGUGGUGGCCGAUAUUAUUGAGUCUAAAGGGUCCGUAGCCGGCUUUGCAAGUCCCCUGGGAAAUCCGGCGGCUUAACCGUUGGGCUUUCAUGGGAUACUACAUUGCUUGGGACUGGGGGAGGUAGGAGGUACUCGGGGGGUAGGGGUGAAAUCCUGUAAUCCUCCGGGGACCACCGGUGGCGAAGGCGUCCUACCAGAACAGGUCCGACGGUGAGGGACGAAAGCUAGGGGCACGAACCGGAUUAGAUACCCGGGUAGUCCUAGCCGUAAACGAUGCCCGCUAGGUGUCACGACGGUCGUGAAUCGUCGUGGUGCCGUAGGGAAGCCGCGAAGCGGGCCACUUGGGAAGUACGGCCGCAAGGCUGAAACUUAAAGGAAUUGGCGGG